RNAcentral lists this ribosomal RNA (2912 nucleotides) under Aliarcobacter cryaerophilus. Its description in RNAcentral is "bacterial LSU rRNA". It matches the Rfam family "Bacterial large subunit ribosomal RNA". The record is from RNAcentral. Lineage: Bacteria; Pseudomonadati; Campylobacterota; Epsilonproteobacteria; Campylobacterales; Arcobacteraceae.
AUAAGCUAUUAAGGGCUAAUGGUGGAUGCCUUGACUGUAAGAGGCGAUGAAGGACGUAUUAGGCUGCGAUAAGCCUCGGGGAGCUGCCAAAGAGCUUUGAUCCGAGGAUUUCCGAAUGGGGCAACCCAGCAUAUAGAGAUAUAUGUUACCCUACGGGGAGCGAACCUGGUGAAGUGAAACAUCUCAGUAGCCAGAGGAAGAGAAAUCAAAUGAGAUUCCCAUAGUAGCGGCGAGCGAACUGGGAUUAGGACAAACCCAAUGCUUGCAUUGGGGGUUGUAGGACUAUAAUGUGUAAUUAAAGAGAAUAGAUGAAUUAGUUGGAAAACUAGAGCAUAGAAGGUGAUACUCCUGUAAUUAAAAUUCUCAAUAAUACUAAUAGUAUCCUGAGUAGGUCGGAACACGUGAUAUUUUGACUGAAGCUGGGGGGACCACCCUCCAAUCCUAAAUACUACUUACAGAUCGAUAGUGAACAAGUACCGUGAGGGAAAGGUGAAAAGUACUGCAGCGAGCAGAGUGAAAUAGAACCUGAAACCAUUAGCUUACAAUCAUUCAGAGCCCUAUGAUUUAUCAGGGUGAUGGACUGCCUUUUGCAUAAUGAGCCUGCGAGUUGUGGUGUCUGGCAAGGUUAAGCCAAGUGCGAAGCCGUAGCGAAAGCGAGUCUUAAUAGGGCGACAUAGUCAGAUGCUGCAGACCCGAAACGAAGUGAUCUAUCCAUGAGCAGGUUGAAGCUGGUGUAAGAGCCAGUGGAGGACCGAACCCGCUGACGUUGAAAAGUCUUGGGAUGACUUGUGGAUAGGGGUGAAAGGCCAAUCAAACUUCGUGAUAGCUGGUUCUCUCCGAAAUAUAUUUAGGUAUAGCCUUGUGUUGUAGCAUAUAGGGGUAGAGCACUGAAUGGGCUAGGGCUGCUUACCGCGGUACCAAACCCUAUCAAACUAUGAAUACUAUAUGUGGAAUCACAGGAGUCAGGCGGUGGGUGAUAAAAUCCGUCGUCAAGAGGGGAACAACCCAGACUAACAGCUAAGGUCCCUAAGUUACAUCUAAGUGGAAAACGAUGUGGAGUUACUGUGACAACCAGGAGGUUGGCUUAGAAGCAGCCAUCCUUUAAAGAAAGCGUAACAGCUCACUGGUCUAGUGAUUCUGCGCGGAAAAUAUAACGGGGCUAAGAUGUACACCGAAGCUUUAGAUUCAAUUUUUAAUUGAGUGGUAGGAGAGCGUUCUAUUCAGCGUUGAAGGUAUACCGGUAAGGAGUGCUGGAGCGGAUAGAAGUGAGCAUGCAGGCAUGAGUAGCGAUAAUUAAGGUGAGAAUCCUUAACGCCGAAAACCCAAGGUUUCCUACGCGAUGCUCGUCAUCGUAGGGUUAGUCGGGUCCUAAGUCGAGACUGAAAAGUGUAGACGAUGGCAAAUUGGUUAAUAUUCCAAUACCAACAUAUAAGCGCGAUGUGGGGACGCAUAGAGUUAGUCGAGCUCACUGAUGGAAUAGUGGGUCGAAGGAUGUAGGUUGUUAAGUAGGCAAAUCCGCUUAACGUUAGACCGAGAUCUUACAGGCUCUUGACACUCUUCGGAGGAGAUGGAGAAUCGAUGAUACUGUCGUGCCAAGAAAAGCCACUAAGUUUAUUAUAUGUUGCCCGUACCGUAAACCGACACAGGUGGGUGGGAUGAGUAUUCUAAGGCGCGUGGAAGAACCCUCUUUAAGGAACUCUGCAAAAUAGCACCGUAUCUUCGGUAUAAGGUGUGCCUACUUUGGUAUAUGAACUUGCUUCAAAAAGCUAGAGAGGUUGCAACAAAGAGUCCCUCCCGACUGUUUACCAAAAACACAGCACUUUGCUAACACGUAAGUGGAUGUAUAAGGUGUGACGCCUGCCCGGUGCUCGAAGGUUAAUUGAUGAUGUCAGCGCAAGCGAAGCAUUUGAUCGAAGCCCGAGUAAACGGCGGCCGUAACUAUAACGGUCCUAAGGUAGCGAAAUUCCUUGUCAGUUAAAUACUGACCUGCAUGAAUGGCGUAACGAGAUGGGAGCUGUCUCAAAGAGGGAUCCAGUGAAAUUGUAGUGGAGGUGAAAAUUCCUCCUACCCGCGGAAAGACGGAAAGACCCCGUGCACCUUUACUACAGCUUGACACUGUAGCUUGGAUAUUCAUGUGCAGGAUAGGUGGGAGGCUAUGAUGACUAGACGCAAGUAGAGUCGGAGCCAUCCUUGAGAUACCACCCUUGAAUAUUUGAGUUACUAACUGCGAUGAGUUAUCCUCAUUCAGGACAAUGUCUGGUGGGUAGUUUGACUGGGGCGGUCGCCUCCUAAAUAGUAACGGAGGCUUACAAAGGUUAGUUCAAAGCGGAUGGAAAUCGCUUGUUGAGUAUAAUGGCAUAAACUAGCUUGACUGUGAGACCUACAAGUCGAACAGAGACGAAAGUCGGUCAUAGUGAUCCGGUGGUUCUGCGUGGAAGGGCCAUCGCUCAAAGGAUAAAAGGUACGCCGGGGAUAACAGGCUGAUCUCCCCCAAGAGCUCACAUCGACGGGGAGGUUUGGCACCUCGAUGUCGGCUCAUCGCAUCCUGGGGCUGUAGUCGGUCCCAAGGGUAUGGCUGUUCGCCAUUUAAAGCGGUACGCGAGCUGGGUUCAGAACGUCGUGAGACAGUUCGGUCCCUAUCUUCCGUGGGCGUAGGAAAGUUGAAGAGAUUUGUCCCUAGUACGAGAGGACCGGGAUGAACCAACCACUGGUGUACCAAUUGUUCUGCCAAGAGCAUCGUUGGGUAGCCACGUUGGGAUGUGAUAAGAGCUGAAAGCAUCUAAGCUCGAAGCCAACUCUAAGAUGAACUUUCCCUGAAGUUCCCAGCAAGACUAGCUGGUUGAUAGGCUGGAUGUGUAAUGGGUGUAAGCCCUUUAGCUGACCAGUACUAAUAGAACGUUUGGCUUAUUUUU